UCGAGGAUCUUUCGCAAUGGGCGCAAGCCUGACGGAGCGACACCGUGUGAGCGAAGAAGGCCUUCGGGUUGUAAAGCUCUUUCGCCUGGGAAUAAGGAAGACCGAUGAAUAAGCGGUCGACUUGAAGGUACCAGGUAAAGAAGUACUGGCUAACUCCGUGCCAGCAGCUGCGGUAAUACGGAGGGUACAAGCAUUAAUCGGAAUUACUGGGCGUAAAGGGUGCGUAGGCGGAAAAGGAAGUCAGAUGUGAAAUACCGGGGCUCAACUUCGGUGCUGCAUCUGAGACUCCUAUUCUAGAGGGUCAGCGGAGAAAAUGGAAUUCCAUGUGUAGCGGUGAAAUGCGUAGAUAUGUGGAGGAACACCAGUGGCGAAAGCGGUUUUCUAGCUGAUUACUGACGCUGAGGCACGAAAGCAAGGGGAGCAAACAGGAUUAGAUACCCCCGUAGUCC
RNAcentral lists this ribosomal RNA (449 nucleotides) under uncultured bacterium. RNAcentral's name for it is "bacterial SSU rRNA". It matches the Rfam family "Bacterial small subunit ribosomal RNA", at positions 355 to 796 of the family's 1533-position model. The record is from RNAcentral.